This 301-nucleotide ribosomal RNA is filed under the name uncultured bacterium. RNAcentral describes it as "partial 16S ribosomal RNA". It matches the Rfam family "Bacterial small subunit ribosomal RNA", at positions 509 to 807 of the family's 1533-position model. The record is from RNAcentral.
CAGCCGCCGCGGUAAUACGAAGGGGGCUAGCGUUGUUCGGAAUCACUGGGCGUAAAGGGUGCGUAGGCGGAUUCUUAAGUCAGGGGUGAAAUCCCGAGGCUCAACCUCGGAACUGCCUUUGAUACUGGGGAUCUUGAGUCCGGAAGAGGUGAGUGGAACUGCGAGUGUAGAGGUGAAAUUCGUAGAUAUUCGCAAGAACACCGGUGGCGAAGGCGGCUCACUGGUCCGGAACUGACGCUGAGGCACGACAGCGUGGGGAGCAAACAGGAUUAGAUACCCCCGUAGUCCCUGUCUCUUAUAC